CCCUUAGACGUUCUGGGCCGCACGCGCGCUACACUGACCAGUGCAACAAGCAUCCGUCCUUGGCCGACAGGCUCGGGCAAUCUUUGAACGCUGGUCGUGAUGGGGAUAGACUUUUGCAAUUUUUGGUCUUCAACGAGGAAUUCCUAGUAAACGCAAGUCAUCAACUUGCAUUGAUUACGUCCCUGCCCUUUGUACACACCGCCCGUCGCACCUACCGAUUGAAUGGUCCGGUGAAGCCUCCGGAUUGGCGCGCACCUCGGUGCCGCCGAGAAGUUGGCUAAACCUUACCAUUUAGAGGAAGGUGAAGUCAUAACA
Molecule: ribosomal RNA, 315 nt
Filed under: uncultured eukaryote
Lineage: Eukaryota
Description: partial 18S ribosomal RNA
Rfam family: Eukaryotic small subunit ribosomal RNA
Source: RNAcentral